Molecule: transfer RNA, 71 nt
Filed under: Citharoides macrolepis (twospot largescale flounder)
Lineage: Eukaryota; Metazoa; Chordata; Actinopteri; Pleuronectiformes; Citharidae
Description: tRNA-Trp
Rfam family: tRNA
About the family: Transfer RNA (tRNA) molecules are approximately 80 nucleotides in length. Their secondary structure includes four short double-helical elements and three loops (D, anti-codon, and T loops).
Source: RNAcentral
AGGGGCUUAGGAUAAGACCAGACCAAGGGCCUUCAAAGCCCUAAGUGGGAGUGAAAAUCUCCCAGCCCCUG